RNAcentral lists this ribosomal RNA (228 nucleotides) under uncultured bacterium. RNAcentral describes it as "partial 16S ribosomal RNA". It matches the Rfam family "Bacterial small subunit ribosomal RNA", at positions 117 to 347 of the family's 1533-position model. The record is from RNAcentral.
AUCGGAACGUGCCCAGGAGUGGGGGAUAACGUAGCGAAAGUUACGCUAAUACCGCAUACGUACUGAGGUAGAAAGCGGGGGAUCGAAAGACCUCGCGCUCAUGGAGCGGCCGAUGUCGGAUUAGCUAGUUGGCGGGGUAAAAGCCCACCGAGGAGAUGAUCAGUAGCUGGUCUGAGAGGACGAUCAGCCACACUGGGCCUGAGACACGGGCACCGACUCCUACGGGAG